CCUACGGGGGGCAGCAGUGGGGGAUAUUGCACAAUGGGGGGAACCCUGAUGCAGCGACGCCGCGUGGGUGAAGAAGCGCCUCGGCGCGUAAAGCCCUGUCAGCAGGGAAGAAAAUGACGGUACCUGAAGAAGAAGCCCCGGCUAACUACGUGCCAGCAGCCGCGGUAAUACGUAGGGGGCAAGCGUUAUCCGGAUUUACUGGGGGUAAAGGGGGCGCAGACGGCGAUGCAAGCCAGGAGUGAAAGCCCGGGGCCCAACCUUGGGACUGCAUUUGAAACUGGGUGGCUGGAGUGCAGGAGAGGGAGGCGGAAUUCCUGGUGUAGCGGUGAAAUGCGUAGAGAUCAGGAGGAACACCGGUGGCGAAGGCGGCCUGCUGGACUGUAACUGACGUUGAGGCGCGAAAGCGUGGGGAGCAAACAGGAUUAGAUACCCGUGUAGUC
Molecule: ribosomal RNA, 440 nt
Filed under: uncultured bacterium
Lineage: Bacteria
Description: partial 16S ribosomal RNA
Rfam family: Bacterial small subunit ribosomal RNA
Source: RNAcentral